This 447-nucleotide ribosomal RNA is filed under the name uncultured bacterium. Its description in RNAcentral is "bacterial SSU rRNA". It matches the Rfam family "Bacterial small subunit ribosomal RNA", at positions 329 to 793 of the family's 1533-position model. The record is from RNAcentral.
GACCAGACUCCUACGGGAGGCAGCAGUGGGGAAUAUUGCACAAUGGGGGAAACCCUGAUGCAGCGACGCCGCGUGAGUGAAGAAGUAUUUCGGUAUGUAAAGCUCUAUCAGCAGGGAAGAGAAUGACGGUACCUGACUAAGAAGCCCCGGCUAACUACGUGCCAGCAGCCGCGGUAAUACGUAGGGGGCAAGCGUUAUCCGGAAUCACUGGGUGUAAAGGGAGCGUAGACGGCUGAGCAAGCCUGAAGUGAAGGGCGGGGGCCCAACCCCCGGACUGCUUUGGGAACUGUACAGCUAGAGUGCAGGAGGGGUGAGCGGAAUUCCUAGUGUAGCGGUGAAAUGCGUAGAUAUUAGGAGGAACACCGGUGGCGAGGGCGGCUCACUGGACUGUAACUGACGUUGAGGCUCGAAAGCGUGGGGAGCACACAGGAUUAGAUACCCGAGUAG